GAUGAACGCUAGCGGCAGGCUUAACACAUGCAAGUCGAGGGGUAGAGGUUGCUUGCAACCUUGAGACCGGCGCACGGGUGCGUAACGCGUAUGCAACCUACCUUUUACAGAGGGAUAGCCCAGAGAAAUUUGGAUUAAUACCUCAUAGUAUAUAACCUUCGCAUGUUGGUUAUAUUAAAGUUCCAACGGUAAAAGAUGGGCAUGCGUCCUAUUAGCUAGAUGGUAAGGUAACGGCUUACCAUGGCGACGAUAGGUAGGGGUCCUGAGAGGGCGAUCCCCCACACUGGUACUGAGACACGGACCAGACUCCUACGGGAGGCAGCAGUGAGGAAUAUUGGACAAUGGGCGCAAGCCUGAUCCAGCCAUGCCGCGUGCAGGAAGAAGCAUCUAUGGUGUGUAAACUGCUUAUGUACAGGAAGAAACACCCCGACGUGUCGGGGCUUGACGGUACUGUAAGAAUAAGGAUCGGCUAACUCCGUGCCAGCCGCCGCGGUAA
RNAcentral lists this ribosomal RNA (496 nucleotides) under uncultured bacterium. RNAcentral's name for it is "partial 16S ribosomal RNA". It matches the Rfam family "Bacterial small subunit ribosomal RNA", at positions 28 to 523 of the family's 1533-position model. The record is from RNAcentral.